GUGCUCACUUCAGCAGCACAUUUACUAAAAUUUAACAAUACAGGGAAGAUUAGCGUGGCCCCUGAGCAAGGACUACACACAAAUUCAUGACGCAUUCCAUAUUUAA
Molecule: small nuclear RNA, 106 nt
Organism: Bison bison bison
Lineage: Eukaryota; Metazoa; Chordata; Mammalia; Artiodactyla; Bovidae
Source: Ensembl